GGGGGUAUAGCUCAGCUGGGAGAGCGCUUGACUGGCAGUCAAGAGGUCAGGAGUUCGAGCCUCCUUAUCUCCACCA
This 76-nucleotide transfer RNA is filed under the name Candidatus Contubernalis alkaliaceticus. RNAcentral's name for it is "Candidatus Contubernalis alkalaceticus tRNA-Ala". It matches the Rfam family "tRNA". From Rfam's summary of the family: Transfer RNA (tRNA) molecules are approximately 80 nucleotides in length. Lineage: Bacteria; Bacillati; Bacillota; Dethiobacteria; Dethiobacterales; Dethiobacteraceae. The record is from RNAcentral. RNAcentral also lists the same sequence under 2 other names.